Molecule: ribosomal RNA, 835 nt
Filed under: Halicephalobus sp. CFB106
Lineage: Eukaryota; Metazoa; Nematoda; Chromadorea; Rhabditida; Panagrolaimidae
Description: partial small subunit ribosomal RNA
Rfam family: Eukaryotic small subunit ribosomal RNA
Source: RNAcentral
GAAUGCAUGGGAGUACCAGAAAACGCGCGAAGGUCUCUUCAACAGGUAAAAAGUAUUAGGGGGGAUUCCAAUAAAUAGAUAUUUGGGGGUAAUUUGGAGGUUAUACAUGCCAAAAAGACUGUAUAAAUUUGGUUGACAAUUUCAGGUUAUAGAAUUAAAACCAAGGGGUUUGGCCCUAUAAGGUAAAUUUUGAAAAAGGGGUUACCUUCAGAUUAAUUUUUGGGGGGAAGGCGUAUUUGGAUUUGCCCCAUUCAAUAUAUAACCGGGUAUUGGACGGGUUUGGGGUUGCCGGGGAAAGGGGAAAUAGGGGUUGUUUUCCGGGAGAAAGCCCUUAAAAAGGGUUUUACAUUCCAGGGAGGGCGCCGGGGGGGAAAAUUUCCCCUUUCAAUGGGGGGGGGGAAUGGAGGGAAAAAUCCAAUUUCAUUUUUUAUUGGGAGGGACCAUGGGAAGGGUUUAAUUUUAAUUCCAUGAAGAGUUUCAAUGGGGGGGCAAAUUUGGGGGCCACCCCCGCGGUAAUUUCCGGUUUCAUUAUGCCUUGGAAUGGUGGUGGGGGUAAAAAAGUUGGUGGUGCAAAGGUACGGAAUGAGGAGGGUUUACUUUAUUGUUAAUACUAUUUCUACCGUUAAGAGUUUAUAUGGUUAAUACCCAUAUAACUCAGUUACUUUGAGUAAAUCAGAGUGCUUAGAACAAGCGUAUUGCUUGAAUGGUUGUGCAUGGAAUAACAAUACAAUGCAUUGAUAUUUGUUUUGUUGGUUUUAAUGUCAAUGAAUGAUUAAAAGGAACAAACGGGGGCAAAAGUAUCAUAAGGCGAGAGGUGAAAUUCGNGACCCUGAGG